Molecule: ribosomal RNA, 404 nt
Filed under: Fusobacteriota bacterium
Lineage: Bacteria; Fusobacteriati; Fusobacteriota
Description: Fusobacteria bacterium partial 16S ribosomal RNA
Rfam family: Bacterial small subunit ribosomal RNA
Source: RNAcentral
UGGGGAAUAUUGCACAAUGGAGGGAACUCUGAUGCAGCGACGCCGCGUGAGUGAUGAAGGAAUUCGUUUCGUAAAACUCUGUUCUUUGGGAAGAAAAGGACUGUACCAUAGGAGAAAGCUCCGGCUAAAUACGUGCCAGCAGCCGCGGUAAUACGUAUGGAGCGAGCGUUGUCCGGAAUUAUUGGGCGUAAAGGGUGCGCAGGCGGCUUUACAAGUUGGAUGUGAAAUAUUGUGGCUCAACCACAAACGUGCAUCCAAAACUGCAAAGCUUGAGUUAAGGAGAGGUAAGUGGAAUUCCUGGUGUAGCGGUGGAAUGCGUAGAUAUCAGGAGGAAUACCGGUGGCGAAGGCGACUUACUGGACUUAAACUGACGCUCAGGCACGAAAGCGUGGGGAGCAAACAGG